GACGAACGCUGGCGGCGUGCUUAACACAUGCAAGUCGAACGGAAAGGCCCUGCUUUUGUGGGGUGCUCGAGUGGCGAACGGGUGAGUAACACGUGAGUAACCUGCCCUUGACUUUGGGAUAACUUCAGGAAACUGGGGCUAAUACCGGAUAGGAGCUCCUGCUGCAUGGUGGGGGUUGGAAAGUUUCGGCGGUUGGGGAUGGACUCGCGGCUUAUCAGCUUGUUGGUGGGGUAGUGGCUUACCAAGGCUUUGACGGGUAGCCGGCCUGAGAGGGUGACCGGCCACAUUGGGACUGAGAUACGGCCCAGACUCCCACGGGAGGCAGCAGUGGGGAAUAUUGCACAAUGGGCGGAAGCCUGAUGCAGCAACGCCGCGUGCGGGAUGACGGCCUUCGGGUUGUAAACCGCUUUCGCCUGUGACGAAGCGUGAGUGACGGUAAUGUGUAAAGAAGCACCGGCUAACUACGUG
This 468-nucleotide ribosomal RNA is filed under the name uncultured bacterium. RNAcentral describes it as "partial 16S ribosomal RNA". It matches the Rfam family "Bacterial small subunit ribosomal RNA", at positions 28 to 507 of the family's 1533-position model. The record is from RNAcentral.